UCCCUCUUAGCUCAGUGGUAGAGCGCAUCACUAGUAUGCUAUGAUGAGGUCAGUCGUUCAAGUCGGCUAGAGGGAA
This 76-nucleotide transfer RNA is filed under the name Asterophora parasitica. It matches the Rfam family "tRNA". Rfam says of the family: Transfer RNA (tRNA) molecules are approximately 80 nucleotides in length. The record is from Rfam by way of RNAcentral. Lineage: Eukaryota; Fungi; Basidiomycota; Agaricomycetes; Agaricales; Lyophyllaceae.